CCAAUGGGAAGCGGCGCUGCUUUGGCGCCCACUUUGAGCGGCGCGGCCAUCGGCGCCGUUCCCUCAGCGCUGCGCUGCCGCCAUGUUCGUCACCGACUGCCGCCAGCAGUUCUACGAUGUGAUCGUCAGCCAGAGGGUUCUUCUUCUUGUGGCCUCAGACGUUGAUGCGUUGUGUGCUUGUAAAAUACUCCAGGCUUUAUUUCAAUGUGAUCACGUGCAAUAUACACUAGUCCCUGUGUCUGGAUGGCAAGAACUUGAAACUGCCUUUCUUGAGCAUAAAGAUCAGUUCAAACACUUUGUUUUUAUUAACUGUGGUGCUAAUGUGGACCUGCUGGAGAUCUUGCAGCCUGAAGAAGACACUUAUUUUUUUGUGUGCGACAGCCACAGACCCAUCAAUGUAGUGAAUGUUUACAAUGAGACACAGAUUAAACUGUUAGUUAAACAAGACGACGAUCUCGAUGUUCCUGCUUAUGAUGAUAUCUUCAGAGAUGAAGAGGACGAAGAAGAGGACUCAGAGAAUGACAGCGAUGGCUCAGAACCGUCAGAUAAACGCAGGCGUUUUGAAGAGGAGGUAAUAGAGAGAACAAUGAAAAGGCGACAAAGGCGAGAAUGGGAGGCACGCAGACGUGAAAUUCUUUUUGAUUACGAGCAAUAUGAAUACCAUGGGACCUCAUCUGCGAUGGUGAUGUUUGAUCUGGCGUGGAUAAUGUCUAAAGAUUUGAAUGACAUGUUGUGGUGGGCAAUUGUUGGCCUAACAGAUCAGUGGGUCCAGGAUAAAAUUACUCAGAUGAAGUAUGUGACUGACAUUGGAGUCCUGCAGCGCCAUGUGUCUCGCCAUAACCACCGCAACGAGGAUGAGGAAAACUCCCUGUCAAUUGACUGCAUGCGAAUAGCAUUUGAAUACGAUCUGCGCCUGGCACUUUAUCAGCACUGGUCUCUGUAUGAAAGUCUCUGUAAUACUUCAUACACCUCUGCUAACCUUAAGCUUUGGUCAGUGCAAGGACAGAAGCGGCUGCAGGAGUUUUUGGCUGACAUGGGUUUGCCUUUGAAGCAAGUGAAACAGAAGUUUAAUUCUAUGGACAUGUCUUUGAAAGAAAAUCUUCGGGAAAUGAUAGAAGAAUCUGCAAAUAAGUUUGGAAUGAAGGAUUUAAGAGUUCAGACCUUUAGCAUUCAUUUUGGCUUCAAGAACAAGUUCUUAGCAAGUGAUAUAGUUUAUGCCACAGCUUCUCUCAUGGAGAGCAUAGAGAAAGAGGGGCCUGAAACAACUAAUUUCAUUAAAGCUUUGGACAGUCUCUCCAGGGGUAACCUGGACAAACUGCACCAGGGGCUGGACCUGGCCAAAAAGCAGUUACGUGCCAUUCAGCAGACAGUAGCCAGCUGCAUUUGCACCAACCUUGUUAUUUCCCAAGGGCCUUUUCUUUAUUGCUCUCUCAUGGAGGGUACGCCAGAUGUGAAACUGUUUUCCAAACCAGUAUCUCUGUGCCUGCUUAGUAAAUACUUGCUCAAAUCCUUUGUUUGCUCUACAAAAAACAAGCGCUGCAAAUUACUGCCACUGAUAAUGGCUGCUCCAAUGAAUGUUGAACAGGGAACGGUGAUCAUGGUGGGGAUUCCUCCAGAGACAGAAAGCUCUGACAAAAAGAACUUUUUUGGAAGAGCAUUUGAGAAAGCUGCUGAUAGUACCAAUUCUAGGACUUUACACAACCAUUUCGACAUGUCCAUAAUUGAAUUGAAAACAGAAGACAGGAGCAAAUUUCUGGAUGCACUCAUCUCUCUCUUGUCCUAAAGAAUGUUCUAACAGAACACAGCAAUUCCCAGAGAAAAUAAAGAGUGAAGAUUGUUUCAGAUUGUCUUCUGGCCUUGUUAUGCGGUGGUGCUUUGUGGUUCCUUGUGCUGGAAGCUGAGGAUCAGAUGCUCUGAAGAGGUUUCAGAUGUUCCAGACUUCGUAGUGCUGCGAUUAUGUCAUCUCGCUUUAUCUGAAAUGUUCCGAUACAGGCCUGGACUUUUGAUUUUGUGCUUUAGAGGUUAAAGGAUUUCUAACCCGAGCUCACAGAUGUUGGAUACUGCUUCUUUGUAAGGACUCAAUCCUUGUAAAGGCAAAGUGCCUCGAGUAGGAGAAUUUGUACAUGGUGUUUCUGUUCAUCAAACCUGCUUUUAUUAGUAGACAUGCGCCUUUGAUAUUUAGUGGUGGGCUACCAACAAAAAUAGGUUUUAAAUAAGUUCCAUAUUUAAAUGUUCCUUUAAAACUACCUUGAAUGUUUUAAAAUCCUUUUUAAAAUGACAUCUUGAAAAUCUUUUUUGGUGCUGUCAGGCUGAAGCCUUGUGCUUUGGUUGAAAUAGCUGUUUUGUGAGGCAAGUUUUAAGGUUUUAGGGAUUUGAAAUCUGUGUCAUGUACUAAGAAAUUGCCUGUUACCAGAUAAAAUCUGUGGAAUCCCAGUGCCAGCAGAGCGUUCUUAGUCAUGCAUUGUGAUGCUGUAUUGUCACCUGUAGACUAGCUUUGGCAAUAACUUUUCUGGGAAGAAUCUAAAACAGGAUGAUAACUGCGCGGACUGUAGCAUUGUAACUGUCAGCCUAGAUCUCUUCAGUUCCAUAACAGAAGCUCCAGUUCAUUUUAGUCGUAUGAGGUGGUGUUAUAUUCAGUCUUAUUUAGACUUAUCCUGCUGUACACUGGUGUACAUUGUAAAUGUUUGGAAUUGUUUUUCGUCUUGCAAUGCUUGCUUGAAUUCUGUAUGACUUCAAUGUAUUAUAAUGACUAUGUAAAGAGUAUAUAUCAUUACAUUGUACUUGGUACAGAUUUUUAUUACAAGUUUAUUUAAUACCAAAUGUGAUUUAGAUGUAGCCAGUGGAAAUCGAAUUAAACUAUAUAUUUUUAUCCAAACA
Non-coding RNA from Coturnix japonica (Japanese quail), 2877 nucleotides. The record is from RefSeq and is a predicted model, not a curated record. NCBI's taxonomy places the organism in Eukaryota, Metazoa, Chordata, Aves, Galliformes, Phasianidae.